GCCGGGCAUGAUGAUUCAUCAUGCCUGUAGUCCCAGCUAUUCAGAAGGCUGAGGUGGGAGGAUCACUUGAGCCCAGGAGUUCUGGGCUGUAGUGUGCUAGGCCGAUCAGGUGUCAGCACUAAGUUCAGCAUCAAUAUGGUGACCUCCCGGGAGCGGGGGACCAUCAGGUUGCCUAAGGAGGGGUGAACCAGCCCAGGUCGGAAACGGAGCAGGUCAAAACUCCCAUGCUGAUCAGUAGUGGGAUCGCGCCUGUGAAUAGCUACUGCACUCCAGCCUAAACAACAUAGCGAGACCCUGUCUUU
RNAcentral lists this signal recognition particle RNA (302 nucleotides) under Saimiri boliviensis boliviensis (Bolivian squirrel monkey). RNAcentral's name for it is "Metazoan signal recognition particle RNA (ENSSBOG00000008684.1)". It matches the Rfam family "Metazoan signal recognition particle RNA". Rfam says of the family: The signal recognition particle (SRP) is a universally conserved ribonucleoprotein. Lineage: Eukaryota; Metazoa; Chordata; Mammalia; Primates; Cebidae. The record is from RNAcentral.